UAGGGAAUAUUGGACAAUGGGCGAAAGCCUGAUCCAGCCAUGCCGCGUGAGUGACGAAGGCCUUCGGGUCGUAAAACUCUUUUCUGAGGGAAGAACAACCGAGGCAGGAAAUGGCCCCGGCUUGACGGUACCUCAGGAAUAAGCAACGGCUAACUCCGUGCCAGCAGCCGCGGUAAUACGGAGGUUGCAAGCGUUGUUCGGAAUAACUGGGCGUAAAGGGAGCGCAGGCGGUUUGGUAAGUUCAAAGUGAAAGCCCGGGGCUUAACCUCGGAAGUGCUUUGGAUACUGCCUUACUCGAGUUCGUGAGAGGAAAGCGGAAUUCCAGGUGUAGCGGUGAAAUGCGUAGAUAUCUGGAGGAACACCGGUGGCGAAGGCGGCUUUCUGGCGCGAUACUGACGCUGAGGCUCGAAAGCAUGGGGAGCGAACAGG
RNAcentral lists this ribosomal RNA (429 nucleotides) under uncultured bacterium. Its description in RNAcentral is "bacterial SSU rRNA". It matches the Rfam family "Bacterial small subunit ribosomal RNA", at positions 355 to 776 of the family's 1533-position model. The record is from RNAcentral.